Molecule: ribosomal RNA, 236 nt
Filed under: uncultured bacterium
Lineage: Bacteria
Description: partial 16S ribosomal RNA
Rfam family: Bacterial small subunit ribosomal RNA
Source: RNAcentral
UAGUGCCUACGGGAGGCAGCAGUAGGGAAUAUUGCUCAAUGGGGGAAACCCUGAAGCAGCAACGCCGCGUGGAGGAUGAAGGAUUUCGGAUUGUAAACUCCUUUUGUUAGAGAAGAUAAUGACGGUAUCUAACGAAUAAGCACCGGCUAACUCCGUGCCAGCAGCCGCGGUAAUACGGAGGGCGCGAGCGUUAAUCGGAAUUACUGGGCGUAAAGCGCUCGUAGGCGGAAUGUCCA